GGUCUCUUGGUGUAGUUGGUUAUCACAUCAGUCUAACACACUGAAGGUCGCCAGUUCGAACCUGGCAGAGACCA
Molecule: non-coding RNA, 74 nt
Organism: Spizellomyces punctatus DAOM BR117
Lineage: Eukaryota; Fungi; Chytridiomycota; Chytridiomycetes; Spizellomycetales; Spizellomycetaceae
Source: the annotation of a RefSeq genome assembly